Molecule: long non-coding RNA, 2346 nt
Organism: Felis catus (domestic cat)
Lineage: Eukaryota; Metazoa; Chordata; Mammalia; Carnivora; Felidae
Exons: 6
Source: RefSeq, a predicted model, not a curated record
GGUGUAAAUACAAUUCUCUCAGACAGUAAGGCUAGAGAAUAAGAUGGUGAAUUUGUAUUUCAUUUGAGAUAAUCUUAAAGAGCUUGAAAAUUAGAGGAGAAAAAAAUAGGUAAAUGUGAGUACAGGAGUUUUUCUAGAAUGUUUCAUAUUCUGCCAGUUCUAAAGAGCCUCCUGAAGGGACAGAUGCUUUUCACUUAUUGUCUAUUAUGUUUUCAGUGGAUUAGGAAUAAGAAUCUUGCUCAAGGAAUCCUGCAAUGUACUUGUAGUCACUAGGAUUCCUAUCAUGUUUUUUAUUCUUGGUGGAAGCAAAUGGUUGUCAUGUGACUAGGAAUUAUGGCUCUCAUUUUUGAACACUAUUAAUGCCCCAGAAAGUCAAGGUUUUCACCUAAGAAAAAAUGUAAACUUAAAUUGGGGAAUAAUAAUGUCCAGUAAAACUGUGUCUAAGUUACAUUGAAAGAGAGGUUAAGGAAUUUUAAAAAGGUAAUAUUAUCCCCUAAAGGAAACUGUUUUAGGUUAUUUGAUAUUACAUGAAGGCAAAACAUUUCUUCUUUUAUGUUUGGAGAAAACAAACGAAUGAAACGUGUACCAAUUACAUUUUUACUAGUCACUGCUGACAGAUUCAACUUCAUAUUGAUUCCAUUUAUGAAACCUGAACUGAUACCCCCUUUUGUGACUCAAUGAAGCUCUGCCAAUCUGCAGUGGGUCUAACAAUGUGCUGGGAGACAGAUGCGUAUAUGGAAUGUAGACAAGGACCAGAGGGAAAAAGUUACUGAAAACAGGAAUACCUAAAUUUUUAACCCACUGUUGGGAAAUUACAUCCAGGGAGGCAGCGCUGAAUUUUACUGUAAAAUUCUAAGAAAGAAGGAGGUCACCAAAGAAGGGCCUCAAUAAAAUAAAAUGGAGGCAAUUGAAAGCUUGGCAAGCAGAAAUGCAUGUCUGGGUAAUUCUAUUAAUAUGGGAUUUCAAGGGAGUAGUGUAUGAAAGAAGAGACUCAGAUAAAGAAACUUAGAACUAGAGAGGUCAAACAGUUUAGCUCUUAUUUCAUUUCUAAUACAUCUAGGGCAACUUCUGGCUGUCAGUCUGUAGCUCUUUUACUACAUUUGGUCCUUCUUUUCCUUUAAAGAGAAAGCCUUUUCUCAGAAGCAACACUGAAGCAAGUCAACAAGGGAAUCUCUAUGGACAGAAACAUGGAGGGUGUUAUAAAUAAAUAUGGAGCGUCUCCCUUCUACUCAGCCUAUUUCUGACACCCUCUGGAUCAAGGACUUGUAAUGAGGAAGGGGAAGCAAGGUUGUGAACAGUCUUAUGGAGAUGAUCACAUGGGGAGGAAAUCAAGCCUCUUGCAGUCCUCCUGAGCCUGGAAGAAGAUCCUUUAGUCCCAGGAGGUGCUGAAAUGUUCAAAGUUGGCAUGUAAUGCAGUGGGACAGAAAGAUCUCUUUGGUAAUCAUUUGAUUGGAGCAGGAGGAGAUUCCUGACAGGAAGAGCACAUAGGAUGCAUGGAAAUCACCCAGGCAAGAUAAGAGCCCUGACUGAUAGACUCUUCACCUUAACUGUGAUAUAAAAUGCAAAGUACAAAUUUCACUGGAAUAAGACUUUUUACUUCAACUGCAACAACACUACUGAUAUUCAGAAUUUGGGCAUCUGAUAUGGGCUUCUAUGAAUUAUGGUGCUCAUGAGGCCAAAAGCUUUAAACCAUGUAAUACCUUUCAAGGGUAACUGCACAUUCUCCAGCUACCCACUAUGUACAAGGUAAUCAAUGUUUCAUUGGAUUUAGCAGAUGUAAAGGUUGGCCCCAAAAUGUGCAGCAGACAACUGUGAAUGCCAUGUACACUAGUACUUCCAUGAGGAAAUAAAAGAGAUAACUAGAAAAGGUCACUUUAACAUAUUUACGUACUAAUAGACUUUCCUCUGUGCUCUAUUUAAAAUUAAAUGUCUAUGCUGGACACUUCAAUAUAACCUCUAGUUGCAAGCAAAUGUCGUUGGAUUGUUACUUAGCUUUCUAUCACAGCAAAAGUCUCACUCACUCGUAAUUGCUAGUUUAUUUUACCAUUUCUUCCUCUAAACUGAGAUCCUUAGAGCCUUUGUGUUUUUCCAUAUACCCCUUUCCAUCAUUAGGCACAGUACUUGACACCUAAUAAACAUUCAGUGUAAGGUUUUUUGGUUUUUUUUUUUCCUGAUGAGUGGCUAAAUCAUAGAUUCAUUAAUCUAAAUUUCCAAAUAUUAUUUCUGCCUGUGGGCAGUGCCAUUAAGAAGUCAUUAUCUAGGGACACUUGGGUAGCUCAGUCGGUUAAGUUUCGAACUUCAGCUCAGAUCAUGAUCUCACAGUUCAUGAGUUGGAGACCUGUGUCA